UGGGGGAUAUUGCACAAUGGGCGCAAGCCUGAUGCAGCGACGCCGCGUGGGGGAUGAAGGCCUUCGGGUUGUAAACUUCUUUUGCUCUGAACAAGGCGCACUUUGGGGUGUGUUGAGUGUAGGGGUUGAUUAGCGCCGGCUAACUACGUGCCAGCAGCCGCGGUAAUACGUAGGGCGCGAGCGUUGUCCGGAAUUAUUGGGCGUAAAGGGCUUGUAGGUGGCUGGUUGCGUCUGUCGUGAAAGCUCAUGGCUUAACUGUGGGUUUGCGGUGGGUACGGGCUGGCUCGAGUGCAGUAGGGGAGGCUGGAAUUCCUGGUGUAGCGGUGGAAUGCGCAGAUAUCAGGAGGAAUACCGGUGGCGAAGGCGGGUCUCUGGGCUGUUACUGACACUGAGGAGCGAAAGCAUGGGGAGCGAACAGG
Molecule: ribosomal RNA, 419 nt
Filed under: bacterium
Lineage: Bacteria
Description: partial 16S ribosomal RNA
Rfam family: Bacterial small subunit ribosomal RNA
Source: RNAcentral